This 254-nucleotide ribosomal RNA is filed under the name uncultured bacterium. RNAcentral's name for it is "partial 16S ribosomal RNA". It matches the Rfam family "Bacterial small subunit ribosomal RNA", at positions 524 to 776 of the family's 1533-position model. The record is from RNAcentral.
UACGUAGGGGGCGAGCGUUGUCCGAAGUUACUGGGCGUAAAGCGCACGUAGGCGGUUAUCUAAGUCUGGGGUGAAAGGUUCAGUGCUUAACGCGAACAGUGCCUUGGAGACUGGAUGACUUGAGUUUGGGAGAGGGUAGUGGAAUGGCUGGUGUAGCGGUGAAAUGCGUAGAUAUCAGGAGGAACACCGGUGGCGAAGGCGGAUCUCUGGGCCUUACCUGACGCUGAGGCGCGAAAGCUAGGGGAGCGAACAGG